Long non-coding RNA from Xiphophorus maculatus (southern platyfish), 558 nucleotides. RefSeq lists it as uncharacterized. The transcript has 3 exons. Lineage: Eukaryota; Metazoa; Chordata; Actinopteri; Cyprinodontiformes; Poeciliidae. The record is from RefSeq and is a predicted model, not a curated record.
UGCAGGGGAGUGGUUUCUCUACAUUUACAGGGUGGCAGGCAGACGGGAUCCAGCUGGUGCUCAUCAAGACCAAUCAGCGAAGGCCUUUAAUAGGAGCGGCUUCCCUGAGGCAGACGCCAGAUGAUUUUGCUUCUAUAGUGAGAACCAGCCCUGAUCAACCCCUCGUGCUCAGUCUACCUAAUUACCUGGUCCUCGCUGCUCUGCUAAAACUAGCUCCUGGAUACCUCCACUACCACCAGCUGCUGCUGCCUGUCCACCCUCAGUCUCAUGCUGGAACUCCUCCCCCCGGAAAUCCCACACUGCACCGACUGCUGGAAAACCCAUGUACCCACCUCUGCUCAUCCUAACCCUCAGACAUUCCUCCUCUGGCCCGGUUCCUCCCUGCUGCUGCAGAUCAACGCCUCUCUAUUCUCUCCCCAUUUGCACUCAUUGUUCAAUAAAUCUGUUAAACUGUGCUUGGUGUCCGUAGUUGUUGCUUGCCUUCGAGUCCUGGUAACCCCUCACCAUGACAGAAGGAUGUUGCAGGCAGCAAACCGCUCUCCACAGCGUCUCCAGACU